This 250-nucleotide ribosomal RNA is filed under the name uncultured bacterium. Its description in RNAcentral is "partial 16S ribosomal RNA". It matches the Rfam family "Bacterial small subunit ribosomal RNA", at positions 524 to 773 of the family's 1533-position model. The record is from RNAcentral.
AACGGAGGGCGCAAGCGUUGUUCGGAGUAACUGGGUGUAAAGGGCGCGUAGGCGGCCAUGUAAGUCCGGUGUGAAAUCCCUCCGCUUAACGGAGGAAGUGCAUUGGAUACUGCAUGGCUUGAGUACGGGAGAGGGAGAUGGAAUUCCCGGUGUAGAGGUGAAAUUCGUAGAUAUCGGGAGGAACACCCGUGGCGAAGGCGGUCUCCUGGAACGAUACUGACGCUGAGGCGCGAAAGCGUGGGGAGCAAAC